This 425-nucleotide ribosomal RNA is filed under the name uncultured bacterium. RNAcentral describes it as "partial 16S ribosomal RNA". It matches the Rfam family "Bacterial small subunit ribosomal RNA", at positions 354 to 796 of the family's 1533-position model. The record is from RNAcentral.
GUGGGGAAUAUUGCACAAUGGGGGAAACCCUGAUGCAGCAACGCCGCGUGAGUGAUGACGGUCUUCGGAUUGUAAAGCUCUGUCUUCAGGGACGAUAAUGACGGUACCUGAGGAGGAAGCCACGGCUAACUACGUGCCAGCAGCCGCGGUAAUACGUAGGUGGCAAGCGUUGUCCGGAUUUACUGGGCGUAAAGGGAGCGUAGGUGGAUAUUUAAGUGGGAUGUGAAAUACUCGGGCUUAACCUGGGUGCUGCAUUCCAAACUGGAUAUCUAGGGUGCAGGAGAGGAAAGUAGAAUUCCUAGUGUAGCGGUGAAAUGCGUAGAGAUUAGGAAGAAUACCAGUGGCGAAGGCGACUUUCUGGACUGUAACUGACACUGAGGCUCGAAAGCGUGGGGAGCAAACAGGAUUAGAUACCCCAGUAGUCC